Pantherophis guttatus is the source of this 550-nucleotide non-coding RNA. The record is from RefSeq and is a predicted model, not a curated record. NCBI's taxonomy places the organism in Eukaryota, Metazoa, Chordata, Lepidosauria, Squamata, Colubridae.
UGGACUUACGGGCCGGGCGGGCGCCGCCGUCGCCGCUACCGUCUCCCCCACCCUCCCCAGGCGUGGGGCGUGUGUGCGGGGUGGGGCUUUUGACCCCGCCGGGACCGAGACUCCGAGAUCGCUGGUGAUGCUUUUGUUGUCCCUUCUCCGGCCGAAGAAGGACGAGGGCGACUCUUCUCCUUCUUUCCCCCUCUCUCCUCCCUUCUCUGGGGGAGAAGGCGGCGGCUCCCCUCCGCUUGUCAAUGUGGCCCAUCCUUGAGAGCCGGGGAUGCCCGCUCAGAUACCGGCUGCUGCUGCUUGGUUGUUUCCCAAAAGAAGACGAGAAAUCCCUGGACCAGACUUGCCUUCUUCGUCAUCGUCGUAACUUUUUCAGGAUUUGAAAAAAAAAACCCCUUUUCCUUCUUUUUUUUUUUGAAGGGAGGGGGUGUCUCGCUUUUGGGGGGCGACCCCCUCCUCCCCUGCGACUCCUUUGUUUCCAAGAAGGGGGGAGGGAAGAAAGAAAAAAAGAAAGAAAUCGGAGGAAGUGCGAAGAAGAAGAAAAAGAAGAGAG